CCGUAACGAGCGCAACCCUUGUCCUUAGUUACCAGCACGUGAUGGUGGGCACUCUAAGGAGACUGCCGGUGACAAACCGGAGGAAGGUGGGGAUGACGUCAAGUCAUCAUGGCCCUUACGGCCUGGGCUACACACGUGCUACAAUGGUCGGUACAGAGGGUUGCCAAGCCGCGAGGUGGAGCUAAUCCCACAAAACCGAUCGUAGUCCGGAUCGCAGUCUGCAACUCGACUGCGUGAAGUCGGAAUCGCUAGUAAUCGCGAAUCAGAAUGUCGCGGUGAAUACGUUCCCGGGCCUUGUACACACCGCCCGUCACACCAUGGGAGUGGGUUGCACCAGAAGUAGCUAGUCUAACCUUCGGGAGGACGGUUACCACGGUGUGAUUCAUGACUGGGGUGAAGUCGUAACAGGGUAACC
Molecule: ribosomal RNA, 415 nt
Filed under: uncultured bacterium
Lineage: Bacteria
Description: bacterial SSU rRNA
Rfam family: Bacterial small subunit ribosomal RNA
Source: RNAcentral